RNAcentral lists this ribosomal RNA (497 nucleotides) under uncultured bacterium. Its description in RNAcentral is "partial 16S ribosomal RNA". It matches the Rfam family "Bacterial small subunit ribosomal RNA", at positions 28 to 507 of the family's 1533-position model. The record is from RNAcentral.
GAUGAACGCUGGCGGCGUGCCUAAUACAUGCAAGUCGAGCGAACAGACGAGGAGCUUGCUCCUCUGACGUUAGCGGCGGACGGGUGAGUAACACGUGGAUAACCUACCUAUAAGACUGGGAUAACUUCGGGAAACCGGAGCUAAUACCGGAUAAUAUAUUGCACCGCAUGGUUCAAUAGUGAAAGACGGUUUUGCUGUCACUUAUAGAUGGAUCCGCGCCGCAUUAGCUAGUUGGUAAGGUAACGGCUUACCAAGGCAACGAUGCGUAGCCGACCUGAGAGGGUGAUCGGCCACACUGGAACGGAGACACGGUCCAGACUCCUACGGGAGGCAGCAGUAGGGAAUCUUCCGCAAUGGGCGAAAGCCUUACGGAGCAACGCCGCGUGAGUGAUGAAGGUCUUCGGAUCGUAAAACUCUGUUAUGAGUGAAGAACAAAUGUGUAAUUAACUAUGCACGUCUUGACGGUACCUAAUCAGAAAGCCACGGCUAACUACGUG